Molecule: ribosomal RNA, 307 nt
Filed under: Amoebophrya sp.
Lineage: Eukaryota; Dinophyceae; Syndiniales; Amoebophryaceae
Description: SSU rRNA
Rfam family: Eukaryotic small subunit ribosomal RNA
Source: RNAcentral
UAGCGUAUGUUAAAGUUGUUGCGGCUAAAAAGCUCGUAGUUGGAUUUCUGUUGAGGAACUCUGGUCCGCUCUAUGAGCGUGCAUCUAGUUGUGCCUCGGCAUCCGCUCUGCAUACGUGUCUGCGCUUGAUUGCGUGGCGCGGAGGUAGGGCCUUUUACUUUGAGGAAAUUAGAGUGUUCACGGCAGGCUUUCGCCUUGAAUAUAUUAGCAUGGAAUAAUAACAUAGGAUCUUGGUUCUAUUUUGUUGGUUUCUAGGGCUGAGAUAAUGAUUAAUAGGGACAAUUGGGGGCAUUCGUAUUGCGGUGUC